This 117-nucleotide ribosomal RNA is filed under the name Patescibacteria group bacterium. The record is from RNAcentral.
CUUGGUGGCUUGUGCGACGGGGAACCGCCCGUUCCCAUUCCGAACACGGAAGCGAAGACCGUCAGCGCCGAUGAUACUUGGACCGCAAGGACCUGGGAAAGUAGGUCGUCGCCAAGA